GAGAGCGAGAGAGACUGGAGACGCACAGAUCCCCCCAAGGUCUCCCAAGCCUACCGUCCCACAGAUUAUUGUACAGAGCCCCAAAAAUCGAAACAGAGGAAACGAACAGCAGUUGAACAUGGACGAAGGAAUUCCUCAUUUGCAAGAGAGACAGUUACUGGAACAUAGAGAUUUUAUAGGACUGGACUAUUCCUCUUUGUAUAUGUGUAAACCCAAAAGGAGUAUGAAACGAGACGACACCAAGGAUACCUACAAAUUACCGCACAGAUUAAUAGAAAAGAAAAGAAGAGACCGAAUUAAUGAAUGCAUUGCUCAGCUGAAAGAUUUACUGCCUGAACAUCUGAAAUUGACAGUAAGAUGCACAUUUUCAUUCUUUGCUGCUCUCCAAGGGCGUGUUAAUAGUCUGGUGCGACUCCCAGAAAAUAUAAGAAUAAAU
Molecule: small RNA, 436 nt
Filed under: Pongo abelii (Sumatran orangutan)
Lineage: Eukaryota; Metazoa; Chordata; Mammalia; Primates; Hominidae
Description: retained intron
Source: RNAcentral